UUUUUUUUUUUUUCCUGAAAGAUAAUUGAGUCACCUUCUGGUAAACAGGAGAUAUGUUUGGAAUUGAAUACACCUUUUAUAUUCUGAAGUUUAUUGUACAGCUAGGGCUUUUUAUUUAGUUAGAGAAGUUGAACUGAGACAGAGACACUAAAAUAAUUGUCAUUCUUGAAAAUAAUAAAAAAACGCUUUCUAUUGUUUUGUUUUGAGUCAUUUGAGAUUCUCAAAAUGCUCAUUAAGUUUAUUAAUGUCUGCUCUGGUAUGAAUAUAUGUGUAUCCCUGUCUUGCAUUUGCCAGCAAUCCUGAAAUGGAAUUAAUAUAUUGUCCUCAUGCAUACUUCAGAUUUAUGCAAAGAAUGCUACCAAGUAUUCCCAUCACUUAGGGAUGAAAGGUAAGAUACAUUAGUUCCUUGCUAAGCCAUGAGGACACUAAGCACAAGAAAGGAUUUGUAAAUAUGCUGAGACUUAUUUGAGCCCUAAUUGAGUUAAAUAAAAUGGAAGCAUCCAUGAGGUCAAAGCUGUGCAUCCCACUGGUGAAUUAAUGGCACAUGAGCAGCAGGGAACUAGCAACACAAGAAACUCUAUGGAAAACAUGGAGAUGCCCAGAGUUGCAGCUUCCUUACUGUGACAGAGCCAAGACUUCUUUAAAGCAAUGGCCUCUUGUGACCAUUCUCCUUCACAAGGCAACUUAAUCACACAGUUAAUUUAUUUGUUUUAUUCCAUUCUCAUCUCUAAUAAGUUUACACAAACCUUUGACUUCUGUCCCACUGUACAGGUCAGGGGCAUCAGGUACUUUAUGUGUGCAAACAUCAUGUCUGGUAUCUGCCUAUUAAAUGCCUGCCUUACCAUCAUUUGUCCUGAUUAAUUCCAUGAUGAGAAGUGAGAUGCCUGUUAAAUCCUGCCUUUACUGGAACGCUUAGACCUCUGUGCAUAGGCAAGUAAUAAAUGGAGGAUUAUUUUGUACCCAGGCUGUAAGCAUGAUUGCUCUGGCAAUCACAGUUUUUGUAUGAGUGAAUGUGCUCAGGAGCAGAUGUGUAAAUGAAGCUCUGGGCAAGAAGUUUAAAAAUUUGUCACUUAGCAAAAAGUGCAAAGUUAUAGCAAAGUAAAUUUGGAGAUCAUUUUCCUUCUGUAUUUAUAUAUUUUUUUAUUGGAUAGUUGAAGCAACAUUGGUAAUAGACUUAUAAUGAAAUCUAAGUUAUGAUUCUUACCUGUGUUCUUUUUUACUUAUUCAUAUGUUGGUUUGAAUAUUAUAGAACUCAGGAGGUCUCCUCUGAGAUAACUUUAGAGUUAUACUGUUCUUGGUCAAAUUAUCUGUCCUGAAACAUCUGAUAAAUUUUCAUGGCUAUCAGAUUAUUUUUCUCCUGGCUAGCUGCGCCUGAUACUAUAAUCAUACCACUGGGGGUAGUUAUCAAAUAGGCUUUGGUAUUGAUAGCUGAAUACUUUCUAAAUCUCACUGACUAGCUCAGCAUUUUAAUGAAAUAUCUAAUGCCUAUGAAGUCUUUCCUACAAAGAGCUUUUUCUGUCCUACUGGGAUGUCUUUGAAACAGAGCAAGUUCUCUAAAACCUAUGUGAUUUGCAAACUUUUCCCUCUUUUCUGCAAUUCUUCCUGAGGAUUCCAUGUCCAUUUUUUAAAUUACAUCAUUCUCUGUCUGAUAUUUACCACUGUGACUUCAGUUUAACACCAAUAACAUCAUGAAAAUAAUCAUGGUUUGCAAAAGAUGGGUAGCUCUGACCACAUGUAUGUGUCUGGUGCUGCGCUGCUGACAGUCCUGCCUCUCCUUCUGUCAUGUCAAGUCAAGUGCCUGGUCAAGUGCCCACAGUAUGCCCAGGACAUCAGACAACUGAUGUUUGCUAAUGUGCAACCAAACAAUGACCAGUCCUGUGGGAUGUGAUUCCCCUUUCCCCAGUCAUACGCCUUAGGUAAAUUCCAUGCACCCUCUAGGAAUGACAGUGUUAUGUCUCUCAAAAUAUCUCUGUGUAUUCAACCUCUCUCCCACGCUCCAACAAGACACUUCCUUAGAACAGAAGUUUUCAUUGCAAAGCAGCCAGAGUCCUUCUCACAUGGAAGAGCACAAGGCAUUUCAGUGGAGACAGGCUGGUUAACUAAGACUGGCUGCUUUUGGGAUGAGCUUCUUAGGUGCUGCAUGUUUUUCUAAGGUGACUCUGAGUUUUGGGAGGAAAUCAUAUACUACACAUUCCAUUAUUAACAAUGUUCUUUGGAUCAACUGUGUCAUAUCUAUCUGGAACACUCAGAGAAACUGAGGGAGACUUCUGAGUAAUUUGGCUCAGUUUCAGUGUGACAGAACCAAUAUGAUUACAGGGAAGAAUUCCGCCACCCUUCAGAAUGUUUGUUCCCUGUGAACUUUAGUUAAAUUUAUAGCUUGUCUUAGACACAUAGCUGUGAACAAGAUAGCUGCUUUCGGACUAGAUACAGACAGAAAAAAAAAUUCUUCUCAAAAAAAUAAUUGCUGCUAUGCAUCAUCUGUACCUCACCUCAUGUGUGGUCUGCUCCAAGUGUUCUCCUUGGGGUAGCUGUGGAAAAUACAAUUUGAGUCUUCCAGAACGUGAUAACAUAAAAAAGUAUCAUGACACAACUUGGUGCUGCGUACCAUAAUUUUUGGCCAAGGGUAGAAUUUCUACUUGAACUUCUGGAUAGAAGAAGGAAGGAUUUUUUUUUUUACUUAAAUUUGUCUCUCUUCUCAUUCAGCUCCAGCUCCUGAAACAGUCUCAUUCCACUCAGGCUGGAGCUCUCCAAGAGGAAUGCCCUCAUUUCUGGGGGAGAAGAAGAGAAAUUCUGGCCAGGGUAUGGGGAAGCAGGGUGCUCUAGGCAUCAUGCCUCCACUGCUGGAUCAUCAUCCCUGCAUGAGCAGGGCAGAAAUACAGCUCAGCCAGGCAAAGUGGUGCAAGGCCUAGGACAAGGAAUGCUGCCACUUCAUGGGAUUUUGGUAUCAAGAAGUUUCAUAUGCACUUGAAAUCACAAUGCUCCUAGAGCAUCAUUGCACCCAGAGCAUUUUAAACUGCAUUGUACAGGUGCUCAGGGGGCAGUGGGCUGGCCAGGGGUGUGACCACAUCCUGGCUGUGAUGCAGCCUGGCUGCCUCUCCCAGACCCUUGCCCAAGGUCUCUGACAGCACCAUGGCUUGGUGAAGCUUCCCACAGGCUUGAGUAGGCUUCCCAUCAAGUACCCAGAGUAGAUGUGGCCUGGGAAGAGGCUGUCCCCUGACUGAUUAGAGAGUGACUGUCCUCUGGUGAUAACUAGAAAGAUUUGAGAAGUGUGAAAGAAUAAUUUAUUUUGCUAUAUUUUUGGCAUAUGUUCUGGCACCUUAAUAACUGAUACCUUUUACCAUUCUCUUGUCUACUUUUACUAAUUUGGAUUUUUUUAAUGUAAUGGUAAGUACACUAACCUUUAGUUUAAAAUGUUGCUUCCUUUUGAAAUGAAGAUCUUAUAUAAAUUAUCAAAUUAAAUCCAAAAUAUUCUUCAGGCAGUUCAGUAUUUACUUAUUUUUUUAAAUUAUUCUAGCUAGAGGCAUGCUAUUGGAUUUAUAGGUGUUUGGGUAACUUAAUUUAAAAGAGCAAAACGGACUAAACUAGAUAAGAGAAACUUAGGCCAAAUUAUACUGGUUGUGACAUAUGUGAUACAUAAUGCUGUGUAAUUAGAUAUUAAAAUUGUUUCUGUACAGCAGGAUGUUUUAUAAAAACGGGACAAAUGUUUUUUAAAUGUACCACUGGAAACCAGACAGAUGGUAACCUAUAUCCCCAAGGAGGAUAGCUGAAUUCCACCAAGUUUUUUAUAUGAAUUUGAACUGUAGUGAACAGGAAAGGAGGGAAUUUGUGAUUAUAGUCUAGUUUGCUAUUAGUCAAUGUUUGGCUGAAUGUGCAAAGGAUACUUAUAUGGUGCUUAGUCUGGACAGUAAUAUUUUCUGGGGAUUUGUUCGUUCUUGAGCAAUAGCAGAGCAGAUGGUGACAAAGCAGAUCUAGCAAUAAAUCACGGAGACAGGGUACUUGAAGGAAGUAAGAUGAUCUAGAGGAACAGAAUAGAAACUGAGGGAUAAUUUUAACACAAAUGCACAGUGUAUUCCCAGUAAUUUUAUUAAUGCUGGGGACAGUACUUAAAGACUGAGCAUUUUCAUGUAGCUUGGCUGUUAAAACCCCUAUUAAAAAUUUUAAUCAACAUCCUUUGGGAGCAAAACUUUUCAGGGUGCAUACAAAAAAAAGAUCUCUGCUAUGUACCGAAACUCCUGGUGACCACAUAAUUUAUAAAUGCCUGACAAUCAUAAACUGCAAGAUGCCUUUUGAGACUCACUGUGUUUGUGGCUACAUGGACUUAGCUCUGAAACCCUGACAGCCUUCAGGACAGCCUGAUACACAUAAUAGUAAAGGGAAAGAUGUCUACAAAUACAAGAAAAAGCAAUCCCAGGAAGCAACAUGUCAGUGGAAAAAUUUUAGCCCACUAGCAGCUGGAGGGUAGUGCUCUCUCUGCUCCCUACUUGGGAGGCAGCACAAAGCCACAUCUCUGACAGAAACUGACACUUCUUUGUCAGCCAGACUGCAGUGUGACCCUGGGAAUGGUGCUUCCUCAUAAUUCCCUGCCGUUUGCUCUCUUGCUGUCACACCAGCACCUGCAUCAGUGCUGACAGUGCCUGUCUCUGUCAGAUCUGCUCUCACACUAAAUAUUUCACUGGAGUGUUUAUAGUUCCAUUCCCCAGGUUGGAGGCUGCUAAUACUGAGGAGGCAAUGGUGAGCAGUUCAAGGCCCUGGAUAGCAAAGUGUCCCUUAGCCCCUUUUCUUGCACUAAAUCGAGGCAGAACCUUUGCUUACAAAACAUGCAGUAAGAUGAGGAAGUGCCAAUUCCCAGCUUGUCAAGUUCAGGCAAAGGAUUUCUGUUGCAUUUGGUACUUGGAUAAUCCAAAAGACAAAAUACCCAUUGAUUCAACCCACAGAUCUCCAUAUCAGAUCAAUCUUGGUGCCUUUCAGGAUGCACUAGGCACAGGCAGCAUCAUACAGCCCUGACAUGCAGUCAAGCCCAAUUUAACCUGUUAUUAUCAAGUGAUUAUCAAGUGGUUGAUACUCAUGCACCCCCUUGAACCACUUCACUUUAAAUUAGCAUUUUAAAAAGUAUCAUCUCAGUGACCCUCUGAAACAGUCCUACUACAAAUAAUGGCUGAGCAAGGUGUGUUUGUAUGCUGCACAAAGGAGUGCCACACAAAGGAGACUCCUUUUACUCCUUUUAGCAGAUGGAGGACUAGGAAAACUAAAGGCAGAGUUAUUGAGAAAGAAGAUUGGCAUUUUUGAUGAAAAAUGUAUCAUGAAAACAUCUUUCAACGGCUUGCAGAGACAAUAAUUUAAAAUAAAUAAUUAUAAAAAUUGAACUAUUAAACUCAGAUGGGCAGUUUUUUUAGUAUUGUAGAGUCUCCCUUUUCUUUUUCUGGUCACAUAUUAGAAUGACUUGUUGAAAUGUGAAAACAGGUAGAAAAGUUAAACAAGCCAUUAAUGUAAAGAGCUAAAAGCAUAGUAUUUGGUUUUUCAGUAGCUUGUUCCCAGGUUUGAACAAAGAGAGUAACAAAGUUUAUGUCCCCUGUCUUCACAUAUUCUUGCAUAGUGGCUGGAAUUCAGCAUUGCAUCAUAGAUUUUCAAGAAGAAGCAGCCUGAUUUCCCAUGUACCCAUAUAUAUCAAACUCUGUAUCAUCAAGGCCUGCAUGCUGAAAUCCAUUUGGGAUGUGGCUGCUGAUUUGCCCAUUUCUGAUUAUUAUCAGGACAUUUGUAUAUUAGCUAGAUACUGCAGAAGUAUCAUUCUUUGAAUACGAGACAAUGUGCAAGGAGGCAGAACUUCUGCUAAGUGAUACAAACAAAAUUAAUUUGAUUGAAAAUUAUGCAGUGCAGACACAUAAGUAGCUAGAAAAUCAGCUGAUUUCAGCAUGGUUGCUGUGUUGGCUUUCCUUGUCCAUUAUCAUCUCCCCCAGCUUUGUUUACCUCUCCCCUCGGUCUGAGGUAACACCUGGGCAAGAGUACUGCCUAUAUUUUACCUCAGGUUCCCCCUGUGGUGCCUUAACUUACAGUCCAAGCUCCAGGUAUCCACAGAGGCUUAUUCAGGGGAGGGGUUUUGGUGGUCACAGAUUCUGUCUGUCCCAUAACUUGAGCUGAUCUUUGUUUCACCAGUGAUAUAUCUAGGAGCAGUUGCUUCUUUAUAUAGUCUGCCAAAGAAGGAAUUUUAGUCAGCAUGCAUGACCCAGGAUGAUCUCCCUUCUUUUCUCCUACUUCCUAUCAAAGAAAGGAUGAGAAGAUAAUGUGAAACAGAAUUUACUUAUGUAUCUUCAAUUGUAAAAAAUGGAAUAAGGAGGCUGAAGUUCUUGCAUCUGAAAUCUUGUACACUGGUUAUCCUUUAAUGCUGUAAAAAGUCAGGGUCAUACUAACACCUUUGAUUCUCUAGAGCAAUUAAUUCUGUCAAAACCAAUGCAGCCAGACCUAUUAAAUCUUUACAAUAGCCAAAAAAAAAAAAAAAAAAAAAA
Taeniopygia guttata (zebra finch) is the source of this 6500-nucleotide long non-coding RNA. Lineage: Eukaryota; Metazoa; Chordata; Aves; Passeriformes; Estrildidae. The record is from Ensembl.